CCUUGUACACACCGCCCGUCACGUCAUGGGAGCCGGCAACACCUGAAGUCGGUGGGCCAACCGCAAGGAGGCAGCCGCCGAGGGUGGGGUUGGUGACUGGGACG
Molecule: ribosomal RNA, 104 nt
Filed under: uncultured bacterium
Lineage: Bacteria
Description: partial 16S ribosomal RNA
Rfam family: Bacterial small subunit ribosomal RNA
Source: RNAcentral